Molecule: ribosomal RNA, 253 nt
Filed under: uncultured bacterium
Lineage: Bacteria
Description: partial 16S ribosomal RNA
Rfam family: Bacterial small subunit ribosomal RNA
Source: RNAcentral
UACGAAGGGGGCUAGCGUUGCUCGGAAUUACUGGGCGUAAAGCGCGCGCAGGCGGCCAAUCAAGUCAGGGGUGAAAGCCCGGAGCUCAACUCCGGAAUUGCCUUUGAAACUGAUCGGCUUGAGUACGGGAGAGGUGAGUGGAAUUCCCAGUGUAGAGGUGAAAUUCGUAGAUAUUGGGAAGAACACCGGUGGCGAAGGCGGCUUGCCAGAACGCGCUCGACGGUGAGGGAUGAAAGCUGGGGGAGCAAACCGG